AAAUGAAUAGACGGGGGCCCGCACAAGCAGCGGAGCAUGUGGUUUAAUUCGACGCAACGCGAAGAACCUUACCAGGUCUUGACAUCCAGCAAAAGCUGUGGAAACACGGUGUGUCUUCGGACAUGCUGAGACAGGUGGUGCAUGGUUGUCGUCAGCUCGUGUCGUGAGAUGUUGGGUUAAGUCCCGCAACGAGCGCAACCCUUGUCCAUAGUUACUAACGCGUAGAGGCGAGGACUCUAUGGAGACCGCCGGGGACAACUCGGAGGAAGGUGGGGACGACGUCAAAUCAUCAUGCCCCUUAUGAUCUGGGCUACACACGUGCUACAAUGGCCGAGACAGAGAGGAGCGAAGGCGUGAGCCGGAGCGGAUCUCAAAAAAGCGGUCGAAGUUCGGAUUGUGGGCUGCAACCCGCCCACAUGAAGCCGGAGUUGCUAGUAAUCGCGGAUCAGCAUGCCGCGGUGAAUACGUUCCCGGGCCUUGUACACACCGCCCGU
This 494-nucleotide ribosomal RNA is filed under the name uncultured bacterium. Its description in RNAcentral is "bacterial SSU rRNA". It matches the Rfam family "Bacterial small subunit ribosomal RNA", at positions 903 to 1397 of the family's 1533-position model. The record is from RNAcentral.